Molecule: long non-coding RNA, 348 nt
Organism: Bombyx mori (domestic silkworm)
Lineage: Eukaryota; Metazoa; Arthropoda; Insecta; Lepidoptera; Bombycidae
Exons: 2
Source: RefSeq, a predicted model, not a curated record
UUACAUGUCAAUUUCAAGAAGUGAGGUAGAUUAAAUAAUUAUUAAAUCACGUUACGCACAGUUGAAUUUUAUUUUGUUUGAAAUAGUAUUAUUUAUGUUAAUUGCCAUAAUAUAUUUGAAUGGUUGCGUGAUAUGCUAGCUAAUCCUGAAAAUGUGUUUGGAGAGGAGACCGGCGGUAACAAUUGAGGAUAGAAGAAUAUAAUAAUAGACUUUCAUUUCUAAAUGUAUAUUGGAAAUUUUCCUGUUUUAUUUCAAUGAAGAUCGACGAUGAGGCCUUUAUCGAGUAUCAACAGUGUUUUCUCUAAUAGUAUAAAAUUAAUACCAAUAAACCGUUUUAUAUCUUAAAAA